Clupea harengus (Atlantic herring) is the source of this 3312-nucleotide long non-coding RNA. The record is from Ensembl. NCBI's taxonomy places the organism in Eukaryota, Metazoa, Chordata, Actinopteri, Clupeiformes, Clupeidae.
ACCACAUGCUGCUCAGACCAAGUUGCCAUGACAACCACCAGGUACUGUCAGAAGGGCGGAGCUCAGAUGGACACCUCACGUCUCUCUUUGUAGCCUAAUGAGGAUACAAAAAUAAAAAAAGUGGAGACAACAAGAAGAGAGGCGGAGAAAGUGAUGAGCGAGAGGGAAGAAAACAGGACCUGUGUUUGGGCAGGAGUGUUCAUUUCAAGCUGGCAGUGAAAGCAUGGUCACUCAGGAGCACUGGAUGAUUACCCUCCAGAGGGUCUACUACCCAGUUCUGGCCACCAUUGGAAUACCCUCCAACAUCAUUACCUUCCUAAUCUUCUGGAGGAGGAACUGUAUGCUGUCCAGGUCCAGCACCUUCUACCUGAUGGCCAUGUCGGUGGCAGACACAGGUGUGCUGGUGUGCAUCGUGGUGCUGGAGCUGGUGGUCAAAUUCCACAGUGCGGAGCCUUUCUGGGCACGGCAACCCUGGUGCAGCCUCCGAGACCUCUUCACCUACGGCUCCUACAACGCCUCCACCUGGCUGGUGGUCACCUUCACAGCUGAACGCUUCCUUGCGAUCAACACCUGGAGCCUGAAGUCUCGCCUCUGCACGCCGCGCUGUGCAUUGUGGGCCAUCAGCAGCAUUUACGUGUUGAGUCACCUCCUGGCUGUGCCACACCUCUGGGCCAACGUGUCCGAGUACGACCGGCAGCUGGGGAGGUGGACCUGUGUGUACAACGCGCAGGCACCCAUCCUCUUCAUCCACAGCCUGGUGGGCUUCCAGACGCUGCUCUCCUACAUCCUGCCUUUCCCAAUCAUCAUCACUCUGAACGGGCUCACGCUACACCACAUCUCUGUAUGCAACCGCAUUUGGCCCGCCCAGGAGCCACCGGUCUCUCCGGCAACGGCCGCCAAACCUGGCCUCAGGGUGGCACCGAUUCUGCGCUCGCGGAGAAGGAAGUCGGUGGUCCUGCUGGUGACUGUGUCCAUGACGUUUCUGAUGCUGUCGGUGGUGCGGGCCGUGACCCAAAUCAUCCUGCGCACGUCUAGCCCCGAGCUAAAGCGCCAGGACUACGGUCUCCCACUCAACGUGGCGGCCGACCUGGGCACCAUGCUGUGCCUGAGCAACGCGGCGGUCAACAUGUACCUGUAUGCUGCCACGCAGACCAAGUUCAGACAGGAAGUCAUCGCCUGUGCCAAACAGGGCCUCGCAGUGAUGAAGAGCAGCCUGACCCCAUCCACCAUUGUAACUGCCAGGCCUCAGUGACUCACAGCGAGCUUUCCAGGCAUCUAUCAUUAAAGAAUGAAAUCUCUACAGAGCUAGAAGAUGGAAGCUUGAGUGAACCAGAGUCAUAUUAAUUAUUCAUCGAUAUGAAUUGCAGGUUUGCUUUUCCCCUGCCUGACCACGGCCAGCGACUGCAUCAUCUCACAGUAAUUCAUUCACAGCUUGCAGCGGCAGAGAGGGCAGAAUGUAAUCUUUUUUCUGCCACUCUGAAAGACCUGAUUCUGUGAGCUCUCCCUCCAUGUAAGCCCUGUCUUAAUGGGCUCCCUCUGCUUGGGACUGGGGCUGUUUUAUCCCCCACAGAGACCAGGAGAGGAACCAGACACAGUCAUUUAAGUCCAUUUGCAGUGGAAACACCCCAGUGGACUUCUCCUGGCCCCUUCAAACGUUACAGGCUUUUUAACAAGCCUUCUCCACUGAGAGCUGAAAAGGCAAGGACAUGGUGUACAGGCACAAAAUGCAUUAAGACUCUGCCCAGAAUCUUCACUUCUCAAAAGACAUCCAUCGAAUGUACAGACUGUGAGACAGUAGAUGUGGGAGCCAGGGACAAGAAGAGGGAAGUAGACAUAAAAUAGUAUAAUAGAGCUUGUAUCAUUUUUCAUUCACGUUUCUCUGUGUUUGUGUGUGUUUGCAGUAGUCGGUGAAGGGUAACAUUUUCCUAUAAAUACACAGGGAUUCAUAUUCAAACAAGGAAGUAAAAACUUGUUUACGCUGUGGUUCCAGUUGUAGAUAGUCAUCAGUGCAUCAUCCCUUUAUCAGUAGGUCAACAAGUGGCUCUCUGAUAAGCACAUGGACUUGUGUGUCUUCUUAUCAGAUCUUUGCCAUUCUAAUUUGCUUGACUCUAUAAAGCUGCUUUAAUUUUCUGUGUUUGUGUACCCAAAUCAUUUGACCAGGGCUAUAAAACCUGAGUGACUGUAUGGUUACUUCAGAAUGCCACAUAAAACAGAGUUAGAUAUUAAAAUUCAUGUCCCACUAAAUGUGGCGGUGCAAUGAGGAGACGAGCAGACGUAAAUGUCCAAGUUAACCCUUGUAGUCUUAACAUUCUAUAUACUCCCCCUGUACUAAGCGUACAAAAUGGCCUGCCUUCAUUAAACCCCUAAAAUAAAGCAGCUUAAUUGAAUUUUAACCCCCAAAUCUAUUUUCCAUGAAGAAACGGUAAGUAGUUUUGAAUGCAUUGUAUUGAAGGGAAACAAUAACAGUUGUGAACUUCAACUUGAAUAAGAAUAUCAUAUAUCAUAGAUAUAAAACAAAAGUGUGAAGAACAGAAAUGAAUCAAGUGUAAUUAGCACACGGAGGACAGUAUGGAAGCGUGUGUUCAUGGACAUGCAGGUGUAUUUCUCACAUGUGCAGCAUGAUGCCUCUUCCUCUUCUAAAUCACUGUGCUCUUUUUCCUCCUGGGCGUCUGAACACAUCAGAUCCACGACCUGCUGGGCAAUCUUUGUACCAUGGUAGUGUACAGCUUUUUUUCACAUUUUCUAAUGUUGGGGUCAUCAAAUUUCAAGUUGAAAAAAUAUCAUUUAUGGAGGUUUUCUCUGCUGUUAAACAACAGUCUAAAGCCUGCACACUCACAGUAAGACCCAUUUAUCUACAGAGAGCCCGUUGGACAUCAUUACUGUCACUGGAAGUCUUGAUUGUUGAUUGCUGACAACCAACAAUCAGUAAGCCUGUGGAUGGGCAUUUUUUACAACUUGUUUUCUGAGACUUAACUUUGAUUUCCACUGAUAAGCCUGUAGUUAGAGCACAGACCUCUAAGGCAAAGGUGAGUGAAAGGUCCUCUGAGGACAACACUUAGGUUUGAUUGCUGUGCUACAUGUGGGCUGGACUCCAAAAAGCUGGCUGAAACCUGCAAAAACUCAAUUUCGGCUAAGAAUCUGACGGAGAUGCUUAGGCUUACACUCUUCUAGACAAAGACCACGAGGCGAAUCAAAGGUUUCUGGAGGUGUAUUUCAAGGUGCUCCUGCAGGGAGUCAAUACCAACAUCAAGUAGAGGCAGGCAAAGACUAAAGAGCCUCACAGUGUUACAGUAUAUAUACAAGUCAAUAAUG